UACGUAGGGUGCGAGCGUUAAUCGGAAUUACUGGGCGUAAAGCGUGCGCAGGCGGUUCGUUAUGUCCGUUGUGAAAGCCCCGGGCUCAACCUGGGAAUGGCGAUGGAUACUGGCGAGCUAGAGUACGGUAGAGGAGAGUGGAAUUCCCGGUGUAGCAGUGAAAUGCGUAGAGAUCGGGAGGAACAGCAGUUGCGAAGGCGGCUCUCUGGACCAGUACUGACGCUGAGGCACGAAAGCGUGGGGAGCAAACAGG
RNAcentral lists this ribosomal RNA (253 nucleotides) under uncultured bacterium. Its description in RNAcentral is "partial 16S ribosomal RNA". It matches the Rfam family "Bacterial small subunit ribosomal RNA", at positions 524 to 776 of the family's 1533-position model. The record is from RNAcentral.